GAUGAACGCUGGCGGCAUGCCUAAUACAUGCAAGUCGAGCGAGAAGACGAGGAGCUUGCUCCCCUGACGUUAGAGGCGGACGGGAGAGUCACACGUGGAUAACCUAACUCUAAGACUGGGGUAACUACGGGAAACCGUGUCUAAUACCGGAUAAUAUAUUGCACUGCGUGGUUCAAUAGUUAAAUACGGUUUUUCUGUCGCUUAUAGCUUAACCCGCGCACCAUUAGCUAGUUGGUAAGGUAACGGCUUACCCAGGCAACGAUGCGUAAACGACCUGAGCGGGUGAUCGGCCACCCUGGAACUGAGACACGGUCCAGACUCCUACGGGAGGCAGCAGUAGGGAAUCCUACGCAAUGGGCGAGAGCCUGACGGAGCAACGCCGCGUGAGUGAUGAAGGUCUUCUGAUCCUAAAACUAUGUUAUUAGGGAAGAACAAAUGUGUAAGUAACUAUGAACGUAUUGACGGUACCUAAACAGAAAGCCACGGCUAACUACGUG
This 497-nucleotide ribosomal RNA is filed under the name uncultured bacterium. Its description in RNAcentral is "partial 16S ribosomal RNA". It matches the Rfam family "Bacterial small subunit ribosomal RNA", at positions 28 to 507 of the family's 1533-position model. The record is from RNAcentral.